Molecule: ribosomal RNA, 253 nt
Filed under: uncultured bacterium
Lineage: Bacteria
Description: partial 16S ribosomal RNA
Rfam family: Bacterial small subunit ribosomal RNA
Source: RNAcentral
UACGGAGGGUGCGAGCGUUGUCCGGAAUCACUGGGCGUAAAGGGCGCGUAGGCGGCCUGAUAAGUAGGGGGUGAAAUCUUGCGGCUUAACCGCAAGGCUGCCUUCUAAACUGUCAGGCUAGAGCACAGUAGAGGCAGGUGGAAUUCCCGGUGUAGCGGUGGAAUGCGUAGAGAUCGGGAAGAACAUCAGUGGCGAAGGCGGCCUGCUGGGCUGUUGCUGACGCUGAGGCGCGACAGCGUGGGGAGCAAACAGG